UACGUAGGGGGCAAGCGUUGUCCGGAUUUACUGGGCGUAAAGCGCGUGUAGGCGGCCACGCAGGUCCGUUGUGAAAACUGGAGGCUCAACCUCCAGCGGUCGUUGGAAACUACCCGGCUAGAGUCCGGAAGAGGAGAGUGGAAUUCCUGGUGUAGCGGUGAAAUGCGCAGAUAUCAGGAAGAACACCGAUGGCGAAAGCAGCUCUCUGGGACGGUACUGACGCUGAGGCGCGAAAGCGUGGGGAGCGAACAGG
Molecule: ribosomal RNA, 253 nt
Filed under: uncultured bacterium
Lineage: Bacteria
Description: partial 16S ribosomal RNA
Rfam family: Bacterial small subunit ribosomal RNA
Source: RNAcentral